UUAAGCGACUAAGCGUACACGGUGGAUGCCCUGGCAGUCAGAGGCGAUGAAGGACGUGCUAAUCUGCGAAAAGCGCCGGCGAGGUGAUAUGAACCUUUGACCCGGCGAUGUCCGAAUGGGGGAAACCCAGUGUGAUUCGUCACACUAUCGUUAACUGAAUACAUAGGUUAACGAGGCGAACCGGGGGGAACUGAAACAUCUAAGUACCCCGAGGAAAAGAAAUCAACCGAGAUUCCCCCAGUAGCGGCGAGCGAACGGGGAGCAGCCCAGAGUCUGAAUCAGCUUGUGUGUUAGUGGAACGGUCUGGAAAGUCCGGCGAUACAGGGUGACAGCCCCGUACACGAAAGCACACAGGUUGUGAACUCGAAGAGUAGGGCGGGACACGUGGUAUCCUGUCUGAAUAUGGGGGGGACCAUCCUCCAAGGCUAAAUACUCCUGACUGACCGAUAGUGAACCAGUACCGUGAGGGAAAGGCGAAAAGAACCCCGGCGAGGGGAGUGAAAAAGAACCUGAAACCGUGUACGUACAAGCAGUGGGAGCACCUUCGUGGUGUGACUGCGUACCUUUUGUAUAAUGGGUCAGCGACUUAUAUUCUGUAGCAAGGUUAACCGUAUAGGGGAGCCGAAGGGAAACCGAGUCUUAACUGGGCGUUAAGUUGCAGGGUAUAGACCCGAAACCCGGUGAUCUAGCCAUGGGCAGGUUGAAGGUUGGGUAACACUAACUGGAGGACCGAACCGACUAAUGUUGAAAAAUUAGCGGAUGACUUGUGGCUGGGGGGUGAAAGGCCAAUCAAACCGGGAGAUAGCUGGUUCUCCCCGAAAGCUAUUUAGGUAGCGCCUCGUGAACUCAUCUUCGGGGGUAGAGCACUGUUUCGGCUAGGGGGCCAUCCCGGCUUACCAACCCGAUGCAAACUACGAAUACCGAAGAAUGUUAUCACGGGAGACACACGGCGGGUGCUAACGUCCGUCGUGAAGAGGGAAACAACCCAGACCGCCAGCUAAGGUCCCAAAGUCAUGGUUAAGUGGGAAACGAUGUGGGAAGGCACAGACAGCCAGGAUGUUGGCUUAGAAGCAGCCAUCAUUUAAAGAAAGCGUAAUAGCUCACUGGUCGAGUCGGCCUGCGCGGAAGAUGUAACGGGGCUAAACCAUGCACCGAAGCUGCGGCAGCGACGCUUAUGCGUUGUUGGGGUAGGGGAGCGUUCUGUAAGCCGUUGAAGGUGUGCUGUGAGGCAUGCUGGAGGUAUCAGAAGUGCGAAUGCUGACAUAAGUAACGAUAAAGCGGGUGAAAAGCCCGCUCGCCGGAAGACCAAGGGUUCCUGUCCAACGUUAAUCGGGGCAGGGUGAGUCGACCCCUAAGGCGAGGCCGAAAGGCGUAGUCGAUGGGAAACAGGUUAAUAUUCCUGUACUUGGUGUUACUGCGAAGGGGGGACGGAGAAGGCUAUGUUAGCCGGGCGACGGUUGUCCCGGUUUAAGCAUGUAGGCGGAGGUUCCAGGUAAAUCCGGUACCUUUUAACGCUGAGGUGUGAUGACGAGGCACUACGGUGCUGAAGUAACAAAUGCCCUGCUUCCAGGAAAAGCCUCUAAGCAUCAGGUAACAUCAAAUCGUACCCCAAACCGACACAGGUGGUCAGGUAGAGAAUACCAAGGCGCUUGAGAGAACUCGGGUGAAGGAAACUAGGCAAAAUGGUGCCGUAACUUCGGGAGAAGGCACGCUGAUAUGUAGGUGAAGCCCCUGCGGGUGGAGCUGAAAUCAGUCGAAGAUACCAGCUGGCUGCAACUGUUUAUUAAAAACACAGCACUGUGCAAACACGAAAGUGGACGUAUACGGUGUGACGCCUGCCCGGUGCCGGAAGGUUAAUUGAUGGGGUUUAGCGGCAACGCGAAGCUCUUGAUCGAAGCCCCGGUAAACGGCGGCCGUAACUAUAACGGUCCUAAGGUAGCGAAAUUCCUUGUCGGGUAAGUUCCGACCUGCACGAAUGGCGUAAUGAUGGCCAGGCUGUCUCCACCCGAGACUCAGUGAAAUUGAACUCGCUGUGAAGAUGCAGUGUACCCGCGGCAAGACGGAAAGACCCCGUGAACCUUUACUAUAGCUUGACACUGAACACUGGUCCUUGAUGUGUAGGAUAGGUGGGAGGCUUUGAAGCGUGGACGCCAGUCUGCGUGGAGCCAACCUUGAAAUACCACCCUUUAAUGGCUGGUGUUCUAACGUAGACCCGUAAUCCGGGUUGCGGACAGUGUCUGGUGGGUAGUUUGACUGGGGCGGUCUCCUCCCAAAGAGUAACGGAGGAGCACGAAGGUUAGCUAAUCCUGGUCGGACAUCAGGAGGUUAGUGCAAUGGCAUAAGCUAGCUUGACUGCGAGAGUGACGGCUCGAGCAGGUGCGAAAGCAGGUCAUAGUGAUCCGGUGGUUCUGAAUGGAAGGGCCAUCGCUCAACGGAUAAAAGGUACUCCGGGGAUAACAGGCUGAUACCGCCCAAGAGUUCAUAUCGACGGCGGUGUUUGGCACCUCGAUGUCGGCUCAUCACAUCCUGGGGCUGAAGUAGGUCCCAAGGGUAUGGCUGUUCGCCAUUUAAAGUGGUACGCGAGCUGGGUUUAGAACGUCGUGAGACAGUUCGGUCCCUAUCUGCCGUGGGCGCUGGAGAAUUGAGGGGGGCUGCUCCUAGUACGAGAGGACCGGAGUGGACGCAUCACUGGUGUUCGGGUUGUCAUGCCAAUGGCACUGCCCGGUAGCUAAAUGCGGAAAAGAUAAGUGCUGAAAGCAUCUAAGCACGAAACUUGCCCCGAGAUGAGUUCUCCCUGACCCUUUAAGGGUCCUGAAGGAACGUUGAAGACUACGACGUUGAUAGGUCGGGUGUGUAAGCGCAGCGAUGCGUUGAGCUAACCGAUACUAAUGAACCGUGAGGCUUAACCUU
This 2910-nucleotide ribosomal RNA is filed under the name Enterobacter asburiae. RNAcentral's name for it is "bacterial LSU rRNA". It matches the Rfam family "Bacterial large subunit ribosomal RNA". The record is from RNAcentral. Lineage: Bacteria; Pseudomonadati; Pseudomonadota; Gammaproteobacteria; Enterobacterales; Enterobacteriaceae.